This is a long non-coding RNA of Chelonia mydas (Green sea turtle), 408 nucleotides long. RefSeq lists it as uncharacterized. The record is from RefSeq and is a predicted model, not a curated record. The transcript has 3 exons. NCBI's taxonomy places the organism in Eukaryota, Metazoa, Chordata, Testudines, Cheloniidae.
UCUCCUGGCAUCUGAUGGACUGGGCCCUUCCCCCCUGCAAGGUGAGAGCUAAAGGGUUGGAGAACAAAGGAAUCAGGUGACCUCCUGGCCCGGGAAAGGAACAAAGCCCAGAGGAGGAGCGGCUGGAGGGGGAGUCAGUUUGGGGAUGGCUGGGGACAAGGAGUGAAGUACAGAUGUGGUUGUCUGCCUCACUGCUCCCCAAAAUGGACCCCGCUGAGGGGUCCUGUUCUCGGUACCUACAAGUUCUGUGUUAGACCUUGUUCCUGUCAUCUAAGAAAACUUCUGUUUUACUGGCUGGCUGAGAGUCACGUCUGACUGUGGAGCUGAGGUGCAGGACCCUCUGGCUUCCCUGGGACCCCGCCGAGGCGGACUAGCUGGGAAGCGCACGGAGGGGCAGAGGAUGUAGAA